GUCUCCCCUCUUUCCCAAUCCAUCAGACCCUCCUUGGGCUCAUUUGUUCUUUGCUCACAGUUCUUUACAUCUAGAAAAAGCACAGAGGGAAAAAGUGGAUAUUUUCAAGUGAGGACACUCCCCCCCUCCCCAGAUUUUAAAUAAAAAUCUUGACUUCUGCAAAUUUCCAUCAGUUUUAGGGAAGCAGCACUGCCUGUUCUUUAUGGAGGAGUGUGUUGGGGCUGCCCACUGUGCUCUCACUCAGGGAGACUCCAGGAUUGAGGGGGAAGAAGCCCCACAGACCCAUCCGCUCAAACCCAUCUGCUGAAUCAAUGAAAAGCUGAACCUAAAAACCAGUUCCCAGCGCACUUGGACACACUGCAGAGACUCCAGAGACUCAGAGGAGGCAGCAGGAGGUCCCUGAAGGCAGCGGGUGCUGCUGGAGAAGGUGGGGCUGGAGAUGACACCAAAAGAGCCACUGGAGCACAGUGCAAACAGUCUCCUCUCCCUGGCCUUGAGGCAUGCUCAGGUCCCAGCUGGAUUUGUGUCCCUCAGGCAGUUCCUGUCCAGGGGAAGCACGAGGAGUCCCAUGUUGCUGCAGGUUGGAUGUCCUGGGAGCUGGGGAGGUCCCAGCUGGUUCCCCUUGUUGCUGCACACUGACCUGCUGCUUCUGUGGGAGCUGCAUUCCCUCAGAGACAUCAGUAGCAUCCAGGAAAUGGCUGUUUUUUCCCCACCUCCCACCUUUUUGGGCUCCCAGAGCUCCCAUUUAGACUGCAGAGAGCAGGGCAGCAAUGUUUCUGUGCUGUUCUGAUGCUGGGUUUAGCAGUGUAAGUGCUCUCAGCAUUCCACUGAGCACCUCCCAUUCUGUCCCUCAUGGAAUGCCCGUCUGAAGGGAUGUAAUUCCGGCUUAAUUCCAGCUUCUACCUCUCCACACCAUUAUUUACAAGCACAGUUCCAUGCCCCCAUCAGGCCUGGCUGGUGCCACCACUGAGCAAAAUGCAGUUAAUUUGGCACAUGCCAUAUUUGAACCAUCCUGACAAAACAAGUGUUGGCAUCUCCAACAGGCUCAGGAUGACACAAUUGCUCCUGACAGGGAGCUUUGGAAGGGCAUUCAGGGAGUCAUGGGAAGCUGUGGAACCCAAGGAGACCAUCAUGGGGUGGCACCACUCCCACAAGGGAACAUCCAGCAGGACCACGUGGUGUGUCCCUGGGGGGGCUGGUCAUGGUGGAGAGGGGUUUGCUGAGUGC
Molecule: long non-coding RNA, 1227 nt
Organism: Chiroxiphia lanceolata (lance-tailed manakin)
Lineage: Eukaryota; Metazoa; Chordata; Aves; Passeriformes; Pipridae
Exons: 3
Source: RefSeq, a predicted model, not a curated record